Molecule: ribosomal RNA, 239 nt
Filed under: Hyphodontia tropica
Lineage: Eukaryota; Fungi; Basidiomycota; Agaricomycetes; Hymenochaetales; Schizoporaceae
Description: partial large subunit ribosomal RNA
Source: RNAcentral
GCUUGAAGUCAGUCGCGUUGAUUGAGACUCAGCCUUGCUUUGCAUGGUGUACUUCUCAGUUAACGGGUCAACAUCAAUUUCAGUUGGUGGAUAAAGGCAUUGGGAAUGUGGCACCUUCGGGUGUGUUAUAGCCCUUUGUUGCAUACACUGACCGGGAUUGAGGAACGCAGCACGCCACUAAGGCCAGGGAUUCGUCCCAUGUAACGUGCUUAGGAUGUUGGCAUAAUGGCUUUAAGCGA